Molecule: long non-coding RNA, 689 nt
Filed under: Phoenix dactylifera (date palm)
Lineage: Eukaryota; Viridiplantae; Streptophyta; Magnoliopsida; Arecales; Arecaceae
Description: long non-coding RNA (PDAC_LNC013378)
Source: RNAcentral
UCGGACUGCUCUAUUUGAAUUACUAGAUUAAUUGUGGAUUUAUUGGAAUUUUUGGUUAAUCAUAGGCCUUGCAUGAUCUUUAGGGCACUGCUCUCGGGCUCAUGCGGCCGGUCGCGUUCCGGACCCGGGUGCUGGGUUCGGGGCGUGACAGAGUGGUAUCAGAGCUUAAGGUAAAGUAUCCUAGGCUUUAGAUUUAGGUGAGUGUGAGUGGGGAAUUAUGAUAGGAAAACUAUCAGAGUCUUGGUUUAUAAUCACCUGAGAUUGUAACAGGAAUUAUAUUGUAAUCUAAGGUUUAAGACCACUAGGGACGGUGGCCUUAGUGGCAUUAGAGUUUGACAUUUAAGAUCAUUGGGGAUAGUGACAAAAUUGGAAUUUGAGCAUAUGUUUAAGAUCACUCGGGAUUGUGACAGGAAUGAAAUCAGAGUUUAAGGUUUAAGACCACUGGGGACUGUAGCAUAAGUGGCAUCAGUGUUUGAGGUUUAAGAUCAUUGGGAUUAGUGACAAAAUUAGAACCAAAGCAUAAGAUUAAGAUCACUUGGGUUUGCGACAAAAAUGUAUUAUAGCUUAAGGUUAUGAUCACUUGGGAUAUGACAAAAGUAGUAGAAUUAAAUUCAAUGCUUAUGAUGUAAGUAUUGGGUUUGAUAUUCUACAAGUAUACAAGGACCGGAUAAAUUGUCUUUGAUCAUGAU